This 460-nucleotide ribosomal RNA is filed under the name uncultured bacterium. Its description in RNAcentral is "partial 16S ribosomal RNA". It matches the Rfam family "Bacterial small subunit ribosomal RNA", at positions 338 to 795 of the family's 1533-position model. The record is from RNAcentral.
CCUACGGGCGGCUGCAGUGAGGAAUAUUGGUCAAUGGGCGCUAGCCUGAACCAGCCAAGUAGCGUGAAGGAUGACCGCCCUAUGGGUUGUAAACUUCUUUUAUAUGGGAAUAAAGUGCAGUAUGUAUACUGCUUUGCAUGUACCUUAUGAAUAAGGAUCGGCUAACUCCGUGCCAGCAGCCGCGGUAAUACGGAGGAUCCGAGCGUUAUCCGGAUUUAUUGGGUUUAAGGGGCGCGUAGGCGGGUUGUUAAGUCAGGUGUGAAAGUUUGCGGCUCAACCGUAAAAUUGCAGUUGAUACUGGCAGCCUUGAGUACAGUAGAGGUAGGCGGAAUUCGUGGUGUAGCGGUGAAAUGCUUAGAUAUCACGAAGAACUCCGAUUGCGAAGGCAGCCUGCUGGACUGUAACUGACGCUGAUGCUCGAAAGUGUGGGUAUCAAACAGGAUUAGAUACCCUAGUAGUC